This 253-nucleotide ribosomal RNA is filed under the name uncultured bacterium. Its description in RNAcentral is "partial 16S ribosomal RNA". It matches the Rfam family "Bacterial small subunit ribosomal RNA", at positions 524 to 776 of the family's 1533-position model. The record is from RNAcentral.
UACGUAGGGUGCGAGCGUUAAUCGGAAUUACUGGGCGUAAAGCGUGCGCAGGCGGUUCGACAAGUCCGAUGUGAAAGCCCCGGGCUCAACCUGGGAAUGGCAUUGGAAACUGGCGAGCUAGAGUGUGGCAGAGGGGGGUGGAAUUCCACGUGUAGCAGUGAAAUGCGUAGAGAUGUGGAGGAACACCGAUGGCGAAGGCAGCCCCCUGGGCUAACACUGACGCUCAUGCACGAAAGCGUGGGGAGCAAACAGG